UGGGGAAUUUUGGACAAUGGGCGCAAGCCUGAUCCAGCCAUGCCGCGUGCGGGAAGAAGGCCUUCGGGUUGUAAACCGCUUUUGUCAGGGAAGAAAUCUUCUGAGUUAAUACCUCGGGAGGAUGACGGUACCUGAAGAAUAAGCACCGGCUAACUACGUGCCAGCAGCCGCGGUAAUACGUAGGGUGCAAGCGUUAAUCGGAAUUACUGGGCGUAAAGCGUGCGCAGGCGGUUUUGUAAGACAGAGGUGAAAUCCCCGGGCUCAACCUGGGAACUGCCUUUGUGACUGCAAGGCUUGAGUGCGGCAGAGGGGGGAUGGAAUUCCGCGUGUAGCAGUGAAAUGCGUAGAUAUGCGGAGGAACACCGAUGGCGAAGGCAAUCCCCUGGGCCUGCACUGACGCUCAUGCACGAAAAGCGUGGGGAGCAAAACAGGAUUAGAUACCCUGGUAGUCCACGCCCUAAAACGAUGUCAACUGGUUGUUGGGAAGGUUCCUUCUCAGUAACGUAGCUAACGCGUGAAGUUGACCGCCUGGGGAGUACGGCCGCAAGGUUGAAACUUAAAUGAAUUGAC
This 570-nucleotide ribosomal RNA is filed under the name uncultured bacterium. Its description in RNAcentral is "partial 16S ribosomal RNA". It matches the Rfam family "Bacterial small subunit ribosomal RNA", at positions 355 to 914 of the family's 1533-position model. The record is from RNAcentral.